GCGGUGGCUUGGGUCUCCACGUUAGGCUGCUGCGAGGAACUGCAACUGAAAUCAGGGAAAUCAGUUUGCUCCAAGCUGGGUCCAGACGAAGAGAGAGAAAAAAAAAAAAAGAGAGCGUGAAGAAGAAAUGCCACUUAGGAGAUGUGAAUGGGUCACAGGGCUACAUGUGCUGGAAGCUACACAGAAGUCUCAUGCAAGUGGUGCCUGUUGUUUUCCUGACCGGAGCCUGCUUUCUUUAGAGUUGUCGAGGGAUUCGCUGUCCUCACGACUGACUGCGCCGGGCAGGAUUCCAGAGGAUAACGCAAGUUUUCCCAGCGCUGGCUCUUUUUAUUCUAUAGUAGGCGUCAGCUUUAGAAUUUCAUAUAUUCUAUCCUGAUGCUAAGAAAAAUGACAAAUGUUUA
RNAcentral lists this long non-coding RNA (401 nucleotides) under Struthio camelus australis. Its description in RNAcentral is "lncRNA (ENSSCUG00000016181.1)". Lineage: Eukaryota; Metazoa; Chordata; Aves; Struthioniformes; Struthionidae. The record is from RNAcentral.